Danio rerio (zebrafish) is the source of this 1586-nucleotide non-coding RNA. Lineage: Eukaryota; Metazoa; Chordata; Actinopteri; Cypriniformes; Danionidae. The record is from RefSeq and is a predicted model, not a curated record.
AGUUUUAAUUUCUCCUCUGGCUGAACAUGAAUAUGUUGAUACACUUAUUGACCACAAGAGGGAGCUCAUAUUUCUUAUCUGCCUAAUACACAUUAUUUAUUAACAUGACAAUAUUUACAUUUCAUCAAGUAUAAAAAUGUCAACAUGAAUGUCGUUUUGGAAUAUAGUCAAUAAUAGUUGAAAUCUCUUGCGGUAGAAACUGCAGAUUUUCAUCCACUCCACUAGGCGGCAGAAGCAAUGUUCAGCUCGACUCAACACGAAUCAGGUGGGAAGACGUAGAACUUCAGAUGACAGCAGCACGCUCGUCAUGACAACAAUAAGGGAUGUGUUUGGACCGUACAGUCAACAGAAGCAGAGCUCCAGGACGUUUGGACUACAUUUAGUGGCGUGAUGGACGUCUGCUGCGGACAGGAAAAGAACACAGAAGUGAAGACGGUGUGAUCAAGACUGAACACAGACAAAGGCAGUAUCCCCGAGUUAGAGGAGAUCAUGAUCACACACUUGAAGCUGAGGAUCACCAUCAAAUGCAGAUCUAAACAUCACACUCUGACAGAUAUUACAGUUAAUAAUUCAGAAUUAUACACAUUUACAGCCUAAAUAUUGCCUGUGCAAGCUCUAGAAACACAGCAGAACAUCAGAGCUUCACAAACUGACUUGUUAACACAUAUUAUGUCUUGUUCUGCUUUAUAAUGAGAGGCUGUUUAACUCUGAGCCUUUACAUAUUAAACAGCAACUACCAAUUUAUUUGCUCCUAAAUGUCUGACAGUGACAGAGAGCAGCAUGUAAACAAAGCUGUUUAACAAACAGGAGAGCUCUGCUUAAACAUAUCAGUAAAGACACUUCAAUAAGUGCUAAACAUGAACUUAACUGCGACUGAAGUACAAAGAAUAAAGACUUAAUGAGGAAAUGCAGGAGAAAUACUGUACAGUUACUUACAGAUGAGUCGCUUUUCACUGCAUUCCUGUCCUUUAUCUCAGCGUGUGUCGGUUAUUUUAGUUGUCGGACUGCAUUAAAUGUUGUUUAGUGACAUUAAAACACUGUCGCUGAGCUGUCAUCUUCAGUUUAUGUGUUUAAAACUGCACACUCGUGCUGCUGCUGCACCAAAACAAACGUCACACUGUCAACAUCCUGAAGCUCUGGGUCAGACUGAACGGGAAGUCGCGCGCGCCGCCUGGUGGAGCGGAUGGAGAACUGCACUAGAGUCCCUAACAGGACGAGUUACAGCGUUAAAGCCUCGUUUAUUUAAAGUCUGAUAAGUCAUUUACACUCCACAUAUGUAUAAUUUAAAAUGUAGACAUCCAGACAUUAUAAUGCAUCUAUUAGGUAGGUUAUUAAAUAGCUCAAUGUCAAGUGCCUAAAAAGUCAAGAUGUGGUCGUCAGCGCCCUCGUGUGGGCAUGAAUGAGUGUUGUUCAGAUCAUGAGCUCGUGGUGUUCAGUCGCAGAUGAUUUCUGUUGGAAUGGAUCUACACUGAUGUCUGUUUUAGACUCCAGUCCUGGGGACCAACAAAGCUCCACAUUUUACUAGGGUUGGGUAUCGUUUGGGUUUUUUUCGAUACCGGUGCUAAAUCGAUACUUUUAAAACGAUA